GACGGACGCUGGCGGCGUGCUUAACACAUGCAAGUCGAACGAUGAACCCGGAGCUUGCUCCGGUGGAUUAGUGGCGAACUGGUGAGUAACACGUGAGUAACCUGCCCUUGACUCUGGGAUAACUGCGGGAAACUGUAGCUAAUACCGGAUACGACCCUCGGCGGCAUCGCCAGGGGGUGGAAAGAAUUUCGGUCAAGGAUGGACUCGCGGCCUAUCAGCUAGUUGGUGAGGUAAAGGCUCACCAAGGCGACGACGGGUAGCCGGCCUGAGAGGGCGACCGGCCUCACUGGGUAUGAGAGACGGAGCAGACGUCUACGGGGGGCAGCGGUGGGGAAUAUUGGACAAUGGGGGAAAGCCUGAUGCAGCAACGCCGCGUGAGGGAUGUCGGCCUUCGGGUUGUAAACCUCUUUUAGCAGGGAAGAAGCGAAAGUGACGGUACCUGCAGAAAAAGCACCGGCUAACUACGUGCCAGCCGCCGCAGUAA
RNAcentral lists this ribosomal RNA (484 nucleotides) under uncultured bacterium. RNAcentral's name for it is "partial 16S ribosomal RNA". It matches the Rfam family "Bacterial small subunit ribosomal RNA", at positions 28 to 523 of the family's 1533-position model. The record is from RNAcentral.